AUGUCCUUAGUUCUAGGAAAUUUUGCUUCUAACUUCCUCUUCUCUGUGUUCUCCAUUCUUUCUGGACCUAUGCUAGCCAUGGAAACUUCAGCCAACUUGCUAUGCAUUUAUCUAACAGUACCGGGAUGGAUGGGCAAUAUAGUUAUAAGGAUCAUAUGGAGUUGCAAUUUGAAUUUUUAGGAAGGUCACUGUGGUAGGAGCUGCAGAGGGAAGAGGAGAGUUUGAUAAAAAGAUAAUGAGAUCUGCUUUGAUGCAUUCUUCCUGAAAAUGUUGAUGAGAAAUGAAGAUGAAGAUGCACACACCAAAUGUUGCACCACUUAUUUUGGUGACUUUUAAAGAAUGGCAAUGGGAAGACAGAUGACCCAUGAGACCUUUUGAAGGAGAAUUUGGCGUUUGGACCAAGAAUGUUGAAACGAUUAGAUUUGAAAAGAGCUUCUACCCUAUAGUUGCAAAUUUCUUUUUUAAUAAAGAGGAAACAAGGCACA
Molecule: long non-coding RNA, 485 nt
Filed under: Vulpes vulpes (red fox)
Lineage: Eukaryota; Metazoa; Chordata; Mammalia; Carnivora; Canidae
Description: lncRNA (ENSVVUG00000010436.1)
Source: RNAcentral